CAAUGAUUUGGGUCUGAUCCCGGAGGAUGCUACUGCCAUAGGGAUCUCUUUUAGCCCCGCCAGCUGAAUGAAUUUAGAUUCAUGGCGUACAGAUCACCACACGGGGCAUAACUGACCCUUAUGACUGGGGAUAACUCUGGGAAACUGGGGAUGAUACCGGAUAUUACGCUAUGGCUGGAAUGCUUCGCCUUUGAAAUGUUUCUCGGACCCGCCUAAGAAUAGACCUACGGCUGACUGGGUCGUUGGCGGGGCAAUGGCCCACCUAGCCUAUGACCGGAACGGGGUGUGAGACCCAUAUCCCGAAUAUGGAACCUGAGAGAAGGUCACAUUACACCACCGUGUGCAGCUUGCGCGAAUCCUCCGCAAUGUGCGAAAGUGCGACAGGCGGAUCCCAAGAUGUUAUUCUUAAUAGGAUAACUCUUCAUAAGUGAAAAAUGCUUGUAAAACAAUAGCUGGGCAUAUACCGGUGCCUGCGCGCCGGGUAUCACCGGCUGCACAUGUGGCAGCUGGCUGAAUUGGGUCUAAAUGAUGACUCGCCGGAUUGACAAGACGUCGAUGAAAGCUUCUGGCCUCUCCGUAACAAUCGCUGAAGAUACUAUCAGAACCGGACCCUGGUCAUGUCAAAGGCACAACCCGGGUCGGGGGAAAUUCCCAUAUCCGAGAUAGGACAACCUGGGGCGAAAGCAUCUGACUUGAUCCAGCAUGACGGGUUUUGAACCUAAGUCUCGGGCGGAAUACGGAAUUUUAUAACCUGGUUCCACUUGCGCCGCAACGGAGGAGGAAUGGGAGCUGAAAACGCUUCCAAUUUUUUCCGGUUCCCAAGAAAGUGAUCAAUACCAAUUCGGGGAAGGUAGA
This 855-nucleotide ribosomal RNA is filed under the name uncultured rumen archaeon. Its description in RNAcentral is "bacterial SSU rRNA". It matches the Rfam family "Archaeal small subunit ribosomal RNA", at positions 1 to 841 of the family's 1478-position model. The record is from RNAcentral.